GGCGCGGCCCAGCCGUAAGGGCGGGGCGGGUAGCGGGGUCCCGCCGGUCGCUGCGGUGCUUCCGUCGGAGCCGCGUCCGCUUCCGCCCCGCGCUGCCGCUCUUCUCGCGGCUGGCGGCAGCACCCUUGGACCCCGACCAACGUCUGUCAGCUGCCAAGUAAAGAAGGUAAAGAAGCCUGUCCACACAAAAGACUUAUAGCCAGUAAAGGGAUAUGCUGCCUGGAGCAGAGAGGAGGUCAGGAAAGCCCAGACAAAAGAAAGGAAAGAAAAUGCACGCAUCACACUCCCCGUGCUGUCCUGAUAAGGAAGACAGGAAAACUACAGGCAACUAUCACAGAGAAGGUUGAGAUGAUGCUGGACAAUGCCUCUCUGGAUGUGUGCUGAGCUGAGCUCUUGCUGUGGACUGUAUGGCCCUAAUUGCUGCAGGUUCCCAUUCUUACUGGGGAAUUGGAUAUAAUUAUUAUUUGGGCCACAGAGAUGUUUUCUCAAACCUUUCCCAUUUUUCUGCCUUUUAGUGGUAGAUCUUCUCUUUCUGCCUUUGAAUUUUACAGCGAUUUUCUGAUGUCAUUCAACUACCCAAAUUCCUUGCAGCUCCUGGAGCAGAGAGAAGCUUCUGUGGCCGACAUUCAGUGGGACAAUGAUACUGUGUAUCCCACCUCUUUAAUACAUUUAACUGCUGUUUAUAUCUUGGAGUGUAGACUUAGUUGAUCCUUUUUCAACUGAAACUGGCAGGCUUAAUUCACCUGAAUUACCAAACCAUAAUUUAGAUAGUUGAGUUUUUUAAAAGAAGAAAACAACCAGGCUUUUUUGUCUGUGGACUUUAUUGGUAUUGCUCCUUAAUUGAGCCAGACCUUUAAGUAAUGAUGUGGGCGCCUUCUAGAACAGUGUUCAAUAUAUUUUGCACGCUCUCAUGAGACCCUCAGGCCCAGAUUUUUCCGUUGCUGAAUUAAAUACAGGUCCAAGCUGACGGUGUCCCGUGCAUCUGUUGUUCAUUGUUCUGUUUGUGAUGUUCAUUUCAUCUAAAUGCAAAGUUGGGCUUUUUGGGCAGAUAAUGCCCCUCAAACCACUAGGCUUGUUUUACCCUUGUACUCUACUUUAUGAAGACACGGGUGGGUGAGGACUUUGUCUUGUUGCUGUACUAGGGAAUAGCAUUCAGGAAGUUCCUACAAUAUUCACAUUGAAGUCGAAAUGUUCAAGGGUAUCGGUGUGAUGGUUCUUGGGGAUGAAUCUUACUCCGAGCAGUCUGUAGUGUGGUAGCACAGGACAUGAAAAAGCAGGGUGUGAGGGACAGGGCUGGUAGGAAGAGCGAGGUGUUUCAUGCUGGCAGCUGUGUUUGGUGCUGCUGAUGUUUUCAGAGCCAAAGCAGAUUCAUUUGGUUCUGGUGCAUUGAAACAGAAUCCAAAACUUAGAAAGUAUUUAUUUGUGCUUAAGCUGAAAAAUACUGUUGUGCAGCACUUGUUCCCUUGCACCUGCAGUUCAUUGUGGAAAAGAUUUAUUUUUGUGAACGUACAUUGUCAUGGCUGGUGCAGUGAAAAGCAGAGGAGCUCCUGGUAAGAUCAUCUUGGUGGGAGUGUGAGUGCCAGCCAAAGUGACUGUUUGCAUGAUACAGCUUUCCACUACUGAACUAUAAGCACAUGGCCAAACUUCUGGUCUGGAACACAUUUUUAUAGUUUGAUUGUAAAGUCUUGGAAAACAAGGAUUUAUAAUACAGAUGCUGACAAGCCCUGAAUAUUCAGUGAACAAAAUUCACCAUCAAACACAAAACCAAUUAAUUUUUUUGUGACUAAAUAUUAUACAAGUAUUUGUUUGUAGUGAUUUUAGUAAUUUUAAUUUUUGUGGUUUAACUGUAAUUUGGGGUAAGAUUGUAUAAAUUUUAAGAGUUUACGUUCCAUGUAAAUUUUUUUAUUUACAAUUUAUAGUUUGUAAGGUAUAAGGUUAGUUGUGAAGAGGUAUACUAAAGGCAUGUAGAAAAUGGAUUUUUAGGAUUGGUGACCAAUGAACUCAGUGUAUUUGGAUGUGUGGUUUUAGUUAGUGUUACUUACAUGUUUUGUUUUGGUUGUGGAACUAUUUAUCUUGGGGUUAUUUUAGUCUUCCUAAAAUAAGGUUUGACAGAGUGAGUAGGAAUCUCACGUGAUUUAUUUCUUAUGGAAACAUAAGUAUAACUUUUUCUUUAGCUUAUGAAAUUUCCGGGACUGCUUUCUAUUUACUAAGUCUUGUACUUCAGUAGGGUUUUCUAACUCUGAUUUUGAAAUCAAGAAAAAUGAGAAGACGAAGGAGGUAGAGAAGUUAUCUCCUUAUAGGAGAUUUCUGCCCCUGGCCUGCGACAGCGAAGCAGGGCAGGAGCUUCAAGCCUUCUGGGGGCUGCUCCCCCUUUCCUUUUGCGGUGGAGUCCCUUUCGUGGGGGAUGGACGUGUGGAAAGGGCUGGAAGGGAGUGCUGGGCUGCUGUUCAGGGCAGUUGGACUUGUCCUGUGCCUUCUUUGGGGGUCAGGAAAAGGGGCUGAAGACCCUGGGCUCUGAUGUCAUUUGGGGCACACCCCAAGGUCCCUAGGAGAGGGAGGCACACUGCGGUGGGGGAGCGGGUGGGUGGUGAAUGAGGGGGGUCACGCUGGGUGCCGUCCCACAGAGGGACCCAAAGGUGCCCCAAAAUUCACAGGGAAGGGUGUGUGUAGAAUACUAAAACCUGGCAAAUGUUUCAUUUUUAUAGGUAUUGGUAAAGAAUAGGUAUUUAUUGCUAAAUUCAUUUGGAAAGAAACCCAGAGCAGCCCCAGGUGUGAGCUGUGAGGAUGAUGAGGAAGAGGCAGCUCCUGCCGGGGUGGGGGGUCUGUUUUAGGGCAAGGGUUUGCCGCCGCUGGCUUUUGCACGGAGCUGCAGGAGAAGAGGAGUUUAUGGGGGGCUCCCGGGGCUGUCUCAUGGAAGGACGGCGAGCGCUUCGGGCAGGGUCUGGGGGAUCACCUGGAUACGCACUUGGAUACGUGGAGCACAGCUUGUAAAGGUGCAGGUGGUGAAGUAGUGGCUGCCGCUGCCUAAAAUCUGUCCCCCACAAGCCUCUCUUGUGGAAAAGCAAGUCGAGAUAAUCUUCAGGCAACGCAGUCAGACCCUCACUCAACACCCACCGCAGCUGGCUCAGCGAUAAAGGCAAGAAAGGGUCUUUUUGCAGGGCUUUAUUCCAGCCGAGGAUAUCACAUGCGGCUGAAAGGAACCCAGCGAGGUAAGAAAAAAAGAGACUGACCACGCGGAGGAGACAGCUUGAGAAGGGGAAGGGGUGGCGGGCGGAGCUAAGGGUUGGACAGAGGGGUUUGGUCUCCAGGGAAAGGGGCGUGGCCACCAGGGAUACCAAUCCAGUGAGAGGACAGGGAAAGGAGAAAGCCGGGGAAGUUACAGAGUGGAAGUUGCGGUACAGAAGCCCGAAUGGGAGACUGUCUUUCUCCCCAGGAACUAACUUUACGGUGAGUAGUUACUGCCGUUGCCAGAGCCGAGGACUUGGGAAUUGACUGAGGCGGGAGAGUUCAUGGGAUGCUACAAGCUUGUUGAACCCCUGCGCAGCUGGACGCGCCUCAGCGGAACACACGCGUUAAAGACGAAAAACCGAGGAACUCUCUCUUUCCUUCCGGUCGGUGAGGAGGUGACGGGCCCCGGCCCCCCGUUUCAGCCAGGCCGGUCCGGGCGGUCCUGCUGCGGGCCGGGCCCCUUCCCCCCUCCCCGUGCCGUCCGCCGGCCCGGUUUGGCUCCGGCCGGGCCCCAGCAGCUGCCGGGCGGGAAGGCGGGGGACGCUGCGGAGCCCUGGCCGGAGCAGCGCGAUCUUGCCGUCAGGCCCCCUCCUCCUCAGCGUGGAUGAGAUCAGAGACCCCUGCGGCUCCUGCACAAAACCAAAAUCCUACCACGGAGCCAGUCCUGACAAAGCCCAGUCGCACAUCCUCGCCACAAGUUACCGGCGGGUCGGGAGUGCUUCAUGCGUAAUGUUAACCCUCUCACUACUUCUAUCCGCCCUCGAGUAAGAGAAAAAAGCAAAAUGCAAGCAUGUAAAAGAACAAUAAAAAGGCAUGAAAGUCAGUAAAGAGAAAGUUAAGUCCCAAAGGGAGGGAGGAGGAGAUGUCUUGUUUUUGGAGCUAAAAUCUCUUAUGAGUUAUAAAAAAAGACUCUUUUUCCAUCUAACACAUGAAACUAUAAGGAGAUGAAAGUGUUCAAAUUGAUAUUAAGCAAAAGCCUCCAUGCUAAAAUAAAUGUUAAAAUAACUGUAAUCCCCUAAGAAGUUUAAAUAGAAAAAGAAGGAAAAGUAGUCCUGUGCUUCUCCAAGAAAGAAAAAGAUUUGUUACCAGAGAUAAAAAUAAUUUUAGAGAUAGAUAACAAAAACUUUUGCCUUUAAACAGCACAUCUUUAAAACAAUCCCCCAUAAGUCAACAUUGCCCAUGAACAAGCUGUGGGAAAGCUUGUAAAAAUGAAAAAAAAAAAAUCUUCACUCUAGCAGAAUUCCCUGGACAACUGUUAUUCAUAAUGGAUUUAAGCACCACAAGAAAACUGGCUUUUUCCUCUUGUAAAGAAAUCUCCAUUACCUUAACAACACAACCUUCUCUCCCUAAGUAAACUGAAAAAAAAAACUAUUUUAAAAGUAAUAAACUGACUACAAAUCUUACCUUUAGUUUCUUUAUAUUAUCAGUGGGAAAGAAAAAGUUGUGGGGGAAGAGGAGUGUUCUGAAAGGUUUGUUUUAAUUCUUACCAAUUUUUUUCCCCUCUAGUGCCUUUUAAUAAAAUUUUCUUUAUACCUGUUUAAAGUUUUAAAUCUACUUUACUUUCUACCUAUCUCCCAGCAAGAAGUGAGUGUUUAAGUAAUUAACUAACACCAAAUCUGCCACACCCUGGCACACCUGCACAGGAAGUUGUUACUCCAGAGGCAUUAACGAGGCUCUCCCUACUGUCCUUCUAGGAACCCAGGACCAUCCACCAGGGCCUAGGGAGCAGCCGGAGGCAUGUGUUCACAGAGCAUCUCUUUGAGAAAAUGCCAGGGGAAAAGCCCCCUUACCGAGGGGCAGCACCUGAGCCGGAAGGGCAGAGUGUGGGGUUCCAGGGGAGAGCUUUCCAAUUUCCACUUUUAUCAUAUCAAUUCCUCCCUAGAGCCCUCGGUCCUUCCACAGCACCUCCAGAAAAUAGAAGGGUUAUUAGGGGAAAAAGGGUUUAUGUUGAGGGAAAAAGCUUCCUUUUCCAUUAUUUCUUGUGUUCAAAUUCUGAGGAAAUCCACCUCCCCUGCAACUUUAGUGGUCUCAGUUGAAAGAAUCCUUGCCUUUUCUAUGCUGUUAGAGAGGUGUUAAUUGACAGGGAAUUCCCAUUUUCCAUUAUUUUCCAAUUUAAAUAGAAAGGGAAAACCUUGACAAUGUUUCUUAUGGGUUUGAAUUAAGGGCAACCCUUUUUAUUGUCCUACAGCGUAAAUUGAGAGGGAAGCCCAGCUAUCCCUCUUUCUUAAGGGUUUGGAUUGAGGGGAAAAUCCCUCUGUCUUCAUCACUGGAGAGGCUAAAGUGAGGAAAACCUCUCUUUUCCUAAUAUUCUAGUGGAUUAAAUUAAAGGGUAGAAGCCAUUUACUUACCAUUGUAUCCAUUUCAGUGGAGGUAACUUCCCCAUUUCCUCAUUUUAAAGGAUUCACUUAAAGGAGGCUCUUCUAAAAUGCUUUUUCAGCAUUUUAGGGGUUUAAAACUACUUUCAGGGCACUUCUUUCUGUACCCUAGGACUAAAAAUCUCAGAGAAAGGCAAGCCUAGCAUGUCCUUAAUCUUCAUGCCAUGCAGGAGCCUAUUAUUUUUCUUAUUUUUAUUUAUAAUGUAGCUAGCCCUAAUUAGCAGCCCCAAGGAGACUUAGACUGUUCAUAUAAUUAGUAUAUUAGUAGCAAAAAAGAAAGCGCUGUCAUUUCCCUGAAGAGUUUUCUUCUAUAUCCAGCCUUUUAUUCCCCUUGAAUUCAAAUCCGAGGAGCCAAACACCUAUAGCUGCUCUGAAGGCUUUUAUACCCGGUGGGGUUUGCCCCCUCCCUUUUCCUGGGUGUCAUGGGAAUGAGAGGCGGGCCCAAUCAGGGGUAUAUUAACCCCAGGCUUUGCCAAGGGGCUUCAUUCCCUCUCUGGGAUUAGCUGGGGUAAGUGGUCUCCUCCCGUUUUGGUGAAGAGGCUCUUUCAGCUUAGCUUGUUCUCUUCAGGUGCUUUUGGGCUUCUAAUGCAACAGAGGCUUUGAAGAUACUGUGAAGAAAACUGUGCUGAACACAGGGAGUAUUUAAUUUCAUGAUUUGGAGUUGUGCAUUCAGGGGUGGUGAAGUGCUUUUGUAAUCUCUGAUUUUUUUUUUUUUUUUUUUUUUUUUUAAGGAGGAGUGCAACUUCCUGUACUUCCCGGUUGUGUCGAGUACAACAUUUUUACAGCAGAUUCAUCAUGUCACAGAAGGGAUCUGCCCUGUGUCAAAGAUGGUGUCUGAGAUUGAGGCUUCAGGAGGUCUAGGCAGAUAGCAGCUGUCAAGGCCAAGUCUGCCAGGGAAUCCACUAGGAGUAUGCCAAGCCCCUGUCACCAGCUGGCUGAUGGACCAGGUUUUCUGCACUUAUGAGCCCUCUGGAAGUAUUACAGGACCCUGUGAUGAAGCCUACCAAUUUUGUAUUUCAAGGUCUUCUCCUGGUAGCCCAGACGACUGGCCGAGGAGUUGCAGUGAGUCGGUGAGGUAGGGAGGAGUGAGAGUCCACUCGAGUUUCAGCAAUGCCAUGUAACGUUGUCUCCACUUAACCUAGCUGUACCCUGCAAUGACGGCGUCAGAAUCCAAGCAGACCUGAAGCGUCCAGGCCAAGUACAUGUCCAUUUUGAGGAGAAUGACCAAGAGGCGACAGCUGGAACUUACCAGACAGGUAGACGGCCUUUUUCUGCAGCCAACAGGGAUUUGCAUCCCCAGAUGCAUGCAAGAUAAGUGGAGGGUUAUGACCCACAGAGAGGAUGGAGGUGGGGUGCCAGGUUGGGACUUUCUAGAAGAGGCUUUUGUGUCUGUUUUAGAGAUGGGGAUGUCCAAGAAGCAUCCCCUUAGGUCACCUAAAGGGACAGUGUCUGUUUUGAUCUCUGUGCUGAGGUGCACAGGGCAGAGCAGUUCCGGUGUGUGUCCUGUCACUUGUCUCUGGUGCACUCUGUGUUCUUUGGGUCUCUCGGUCCUUUCUUCUCAUCAAAAGCUCUCUCUCCCUCUCCUGUCCCCUCCUUUGUCACGUCCUGUCCUGUGUCACGGGUAUCUGCACAUAUUUGUCCUGGGGCUGCUCUGCCCUGCUGCAUAGCCUGUAAUAGCACAAGUGCUGGGGACUUGAAAUUUGUAAUGCAGGGUAUAUUUGGGCUCUAGAUUGUAUUAGGAGAUUGCCAUAACAUGUUUGGUACUGUUAAGUUUUCCUGCAGCUGUUUGACCCUAGUCCUAACUUCCUUUCAGAUGCAGACAGUUCAAAUCUGUGGCAGAGGGCACCAGUCCUGGGAAGUCCAGGCAGAUAGCAGCAGUCAAGGCCCAGUGUGCCAGGGAAUCCACUGGGAGUAUGCCAAGCCCCUGUCACCAGCUGGCCGAUGGACCGGGUUUCCUGCGCUUAUGAGCCCUCUGGAACUAUUACAGGACCCUGUGAUGAAGCCUACCGGUUUUGUAUUUCAAGGUCCCCUCCUGGUAGCCCAGAGGAAUGGCCGAGGAGUUGUGGUGUACCCUGUGAUGAAGGUGUCGGCCUCCAAGCACGCCUGAGGUGCGUGGCCCGAGCAUUCUUAGGAAACGACCAAGAGGGAACAGCCUGGUGACAACUGGAAUUUCCCUGACCGGCAGGAGGCCUCCUUCUGCACCUGAUGAGGAUUUGCAUCCCCAGAUAUGUGCAAGAUAAGUCAAGGGUUAUGACCCGCAGAGGGGAUGGAAGAGAGGUGCCAGGUUGGGACUCCGCAGGAGGGGUUUUUGUGUCUGUUUUGGAGAUGGGGAUGUCCAAGAAGCAUCCCCUUAGGCCACCUAAAGGGAAAGUGUCUGUUUUGAUAUCUGUGCUGAGGUGCACAGGGCAGAGCAGUUCCGGUGUGUGUCCUGUCACUUGUCUCUGGUGCACUCUGUGUUCUUUGGGUCGCUCAGUCCUUUCUUCUCAUCUAAAGCUCUCUCUCCCUCUCCUGUCCCCUCCUUUGUCACGUCCUGUCCCGUGUCACGGGUGUCUGCACAUAUUCAUCCCGGUGCUGCUCUGCCCUGCUGCAUAGCCUGAAACAGCACAAGUCCUGGGGACUUGAAAUUUGUAAUGCAGGGUGUAAUUGGGCUCUAGACUGGAUUAAGAGAUUGCCAUAACAUGUUUGGUACUGUUAAGUUUUUCUGCAGCUGUUUGACACUAGUCCUAACUUCCUUUCAGAUGCAGACAGUUCAAAUCUGUGGCAGUGGGCUCCAGUCCUGGGUGAGGAACUUCCAAUGAGCAGGAGGUCUAGGCAGAUAGCAGCUGUCAAGGCCAAGUCUGCCAGGGAAUCCACUAGGAGUAUGCCAAGCCCCUAUCACCAGCUGGCUGAUGGACCAGGUUUCCUGCACUUAUGAGCCCUCUGGAAGUAUUACAGGACCCUGUGAUGAAGCCUACCAAUUUUGUAUUUCAAGGUCUUCUCCUGGUAGCCCAGACGACUGGCCGAGGAGUUGCAGUGAGUCGGUGAGGUAGGGAGGAGUGAGAGUCCACUCGAGUUUCAGCAAUGCCAUGUAACGUUGUCUCCACUUAACCUAGCUGUACCCUGCAAUGACGGCGUCAGAAUCCAAGCAGACCUGAAGCGUCCAGGCCAAGUACAUGUCCAUUUUGAGGAGAAUGACCAAGAGGCGACAGCUGGAACUUACCAGACAGGUAGACGGCCUUUUUCUGCAGCCAACAGGGAUUUGCAUCCCCAGAUGCAUGCAAGAUAAGUGGAGGGUUAUGACCCACAGAGAGGAUGGAGGUGGAGUGCCAGGUUGGGACUUUCUAGAAGAGGCUUUUGUGUCUGUUUUAGAGAUGGGGAUGUCCAAGAAGCAUCCCCUUAGGUCACCUAAAGGGACAGUGUCUGUUUUGAUCUCUGUGCUGAGGUGCACAGGGCAGAGCAGUUCCGGUGUGUGUCCUGUCACUUGUCUCUGGUGCACUCUGUGUUCUUUGGGUCUCUCGGUCCUUUCUUCUCAUCAAAAGCUCUCUCUCCCUCUCCUGUCCCCUCCUUUGUCACGUCCUGUCCUGUGUCACGGGUGUCUACACAUAUUCAUCCCGGAGCUGCUCUGCCCUGCUGCAUAGCCUGUAAUAGCACAAGUGCUGGGGACUUGAAAUUUGUAAUGCAGGGUGUAUUUGGGCUCUAGAUUGUAUUAGGAGAUUGCCAUAACAUGUUUGGUACUGUUAAGUUUUACUGCAGCCUUUUGACACUAGUUCUAACUUCCUUUCAGAUGCAGGCAGUUCAAAUCUGUGGCAGUGGGCUCCAGUCCUGGAUAAGGAACUUCCCAUGAGCAGGAAGUCCAGGCAGAUAGCAGCAGCCAAGGCCCAUUGUGCCAGGGAAUCCACUGGGAGUAUGCCAAGCCCCUGUCACCAGCUGGCCGAUGGACCGGGUUUCCUGCACUUAUGAGCCCUCUGGAAGUAUUACAGGACCCUGUGAUGAAGCCUACCGGUUUUGUAUUUCAAGGUCCCCUCCUGGUAGCCCAGAGGAAUGGCCGAGGAGUUGUGGUGUACCCUGUGAUGAAGGUGUCGGCCUCCAAGCACGCCUGAGGUGCGUGGCCCGAGCAUUCUUAGGAAACGACCAAGAGGGAACAGCCUGGUGACAACUGGAAUUUCCCUGACCGGCAGGAGGCCUCCUUCUGCACCUGAUGAGGAUUUGCAUCCCCAGAUAUGUGCAAGAUAAGUCAAGGGUUACGACCCGCAGAGGGGAUGGAAGAGAGGUGCCAGGUUGGGACUCCGCAGGAGGGGUUUUUGUGUCUGUUUUGGAGAUGGGGAUGUCCAAGAAGCAUCCCCUUAGGCCACCUAAAGGGAAAGUGUCUGUUUUGAUAUCUGUGCUGAGGUGCACAGGGCAGAGCAGUUCCGGUGUGUGUCCUGUCACUUGUCUCUGGUGUUCUUUGGGUCGCUCAGUCCUUUCUUCUCAUCUAAAGCUCUCUCUCCCUCUCCUGUCCCCUCCUUUGUCACGUCCUGUCCCGUGUCACGGGUGUCUGCACAUAUUCAUCCCGGUGCUGCUCUGCCCUGCUGCAUAGCCUGAAACAGCACAAGUCCUGGGGACUUGAAAUUUGUAAUGCAGGGUGUAAUUGGGCUCUAGACUGGAUUAAGAGAUUGCCAUAACAUGUUUGGUACUGUUAAGUUUUUCUGCAGCUGUUUGACACUAGUCCUAACUUCCUUUCAGAUGCAGACAGUUCAAAUCUGUGGCAGUGGGCUCCAGUCCUGGGUGAGGAACUUCCAAUGAGCAGGAGGUCUAGGCAGAUAGCAGCUGUCAAGGCCAAGUCUGCCAGGGAAUCCACUAGGAGUAUGCCAAGCCCCUGUCACCAGCUGGCUGAUGGACCAGGUUUUCUGCACUUAUGAGCCCUCUGGAAGUAUUACAGGACCCUGUGAUGAAGCCUACCAAUUUUGUAUUUCAAGGUCUUCUCCUGGUAGCCCAGACGACUGGCCGAGGAGUUGCAGUGAGUCGGUGAGGUAGGGAGGAGUGAGAGUCCACUCGAGUUUCAGCAAUGCCAUGUAACGUUGUCUCCACUUAACCUAGCUGUACCCUGCAAUGACGGCGUCAGAAUCCAAGCAGACCUGAAGCGUCCAGGCCAAGUACAUGUCCAUUUUGAGGAGAAUGACCAAGAGGCGACAGCUGGAACUUACCAGACAGGUAGACGGCCUUUUUCUGCAGCCAACAGGGAUUUGCAUCCCCAGAUGCAUGCAAGAUAAGUGGAGGGUUAUGACCCACAGAGAGGAUGGAGGUGGGGUGCCAGGUUGGGACUUUCUAGAAGAGGCUUUUGUGUCUGUUUUAGAGAUGGGGAUGUCCAAGAAGCAUCCCCUUAGGUCACCUAAAGGGACAGUGUCUGUUUUGAUCUCUGUGCUGAGGUGCACAGGGCAGAGCAGUUCCGGUGUGUGUCCUGUCACUUGUCUCUGGUGCACUCUGUGUUCUUUGGGUCUCUCGGUCCUUUCUUCUCAUCAAAAGCUCUCUCUCCCUCUCCUGUCCCCUCCUUUGUCACGUCCUGUCCUGUGUCACGGGUGUCUACACAUAUUCAUCCCGGAGCUGCUCUGCCCUGCUGCAUAGCCUGUAAUAGCACAAGUGCUGGGGACUUGAAAUUUGUAAUGCAGGGUGUAUUUGGGCUCUAGAUUGUAUUAGGAGAUUGCCAUAACAUGUUUGGUACUGUUAAGUUUUACUGCAGCCUUUUGACACUAGUUCUAACUUCCUUUCAGAUGCAGGCAGUUCAAAUCUGUGGCAGUGGGCUCCAGUCCUGGAUAAGGAACUUCCCAUGAGCAGGUCAUUGUUUGCAUUUGCAGGGAAAGCCUUAAUGGUGACUGUGUUACAGUGGUGUUCUUUGCCUUUAUUUUUAGGAAGUCCAGGCAGAUAGCAGCAGCCAAGGCCCAUUGUGCCAGGGAAUCCACUGGGAGUAUGCCAAGCCCCUGUCACCAGCUGGCCGAUGGACCGGGUUUUCUGCACUUAUGAGCCCUCUGGAAGUAUUACAGGACCCUGUGAUGAAGCCUACCGAUUUUGUAUUUCAAGGUCUUCUCCUGGUAGCCCAGAGGAAUGGCCGAGGAGUUGUGGUGUACCCUGUGUUGAAGGCGUCGUCCUCCAAGCACGCCUGAGGUGCGUGGCCCGAGCAUUCUUAGGAAACGACCAAGAGGGAACAGCCUGGUGACAACUGGAAUUUCCCUGACCGGCAGGAGGCCUCCUUCUGCACCUGAUGAGGAUUUGCAUCCCCAGAUAUGUGCAAGAUAAGUCGAGGGUUGUGACCCACAGAGGGGAAGGAAGAGAGGUGCCAGGUUGGGACUCCGCAGGAGGGGUUUUUGAGUCAAUUUUGGAGAUGGGGAUGUCCAAGAAGCAUCCCCUUAGGCCACCUAAAGGGAAAGUGUCUGUUUUGGUCUCUGUGCUGAGGUGCACAGGGCAGAGCAGUUCUGGUGUGUGUCCUGUCACUUGUCUAUGGUGCACUCUGUUUUCUUUGGGUGUCUUGGUCUUUGCAGACAUUCCUCUCGUCAAAUGUUCUCUCUCCCUGUCCUGUCCUUUUGUUUUUCCUGUCCUGUCCUGUGUCACGGGUGUCUGCGCUUAUUUGUCCCUCAGCUGCUCUGUCCUGCUGCGUAGCCUUGUGUAAUUGCACCAAUCCCAGAGAUUUGCAAUUUUGCGUGGGGCAUGUAGUUGCAUUCAAGAUAGUAUUCCUAAAUUCACACUAGAUGUUUUGACCUGUUAAGUUAUCCUACAGCUGUUUGAAUUUUCUCCCAACUUUCUUUCAGAUGCAGAUGCAUUAACUCUGUGGCGGUGUGCCCUGCUCCGGUCAGGGGGCUUCCCUGAGAAGGUCAGUCAUGGUUUGUGUUUGCAGAAGAAGCCUACAUCGUGACUGUGUUACAGCGCUUGUCUUUGUGUUUAAUUUUAGGAAGUCCAGGUGGCUAGGAGCAGUCAAGGCCCAGUGUGCCAGGCAGUCCUCUUGCAAGAUGUCUCUGGUCUGGAUGUCUGAAGCCAGGUGCUGUCAUUGCUCUAGGUGUGUGAAGGAACAGAGGCAAGCGGGUGUCCUCCAAGCAGCCUGUGGAGUCAAAUCGAGUUUUCUGGUACCCCGAGGAGGUGCGUAGCUGAAGUUUGGAACUGGCAGCACUGAAGCAGAUGUAGAGAACAUCUCCCCGUCCGCAUCCAACUGACAUUGGAUUCUGUCCUGUCGUCUUGCAAAAGCUAAGUGCUGGGACCAGUUGGUGGGAGAUGGGGGAAAAACCUUUACUAUCACAGGAGGCAAUUUGAUGUUAACUUAGAGGAGAGGCCCAUAGUGGAACGGGCCCCUUGGGGGCAAAGGGAGAGGGUUUCUCCUCAGCCUCACCGGAGUCUUUGCCGGCCAGGGCAGUUCCGAUCCGUCUCCGCAUUCUCAUGAGGUUCGCAUCAGCGGCCUUCUACGACUCUUGAUGUCAUCGUGGAUAUUUUCACUUGAGGAGCCUGCCUGCAUGUCUGGAGCUAUAGCCAUGGUCACCCCGUAGUCAUUGCUUCCUUCUCUGGACUUACUGAGCUGUUUAGGCUUCCUCUUAAGUGCUUUGGCACUAACAUCUUGAGAGGAGUUACCUUUCACCAUCAUGUGGUAUUGCCCUAGUUCUUUCUUUCCUUUGGCUUCAUCAGCCCAUGGCUCAUCUUGGGUUAGGAAUCUUGGGGUCCAUAAGGUGGAACUGCCAGGCAGUUUCCACUUGUGUCCGUAUCAUGGUGUCUGUGUCCAGUGUCAUCUUUUCCGUGUCCACUGAUUUCUGUGUCGUAGGCCUUUGUUACAUCUCCAUGCUUUAGCAGCAUCAUUCUGUGCUGUAUUGGCUGUAUUUUACUCACGUACCUUCCUGGAUAUCACUUAUUCUGGCAUAUUUACAUUUUUACUUUUUGGGACAGGAAGAUGUACAUGAGAUGUUCUCAUCCAUCUUUCUUCUCACCUUUGGUAGCCUUCUCUUCCCAUGCCAUUCUCUUGGACUUCUAUAUGGAGCAUAUUAGACACUCAUCAUGUGACCGCAGUAAUUCUGUAGAUUCCGCCUUCUCAAAGGGUAUAGGGUCAAGAAUUAAUCUUCUGGAGAGUUAUGUCAAGUCCUCACUUAUAUUGUAUCUCUGUUGGCUUAUAUUAUAUGUGCUUAUGUUGUGCCUACCUAUGUUGGCUUAUAAUGUGUGCACUUAUAUUGUAUGUACCUACCUUGGCUUAUGUUGUACGAGCCUCUGUUGUGCCAAUUACGAUCGGAGCUGCCCUGUCCUGGCACGUAGUGACGCUUAGGUAGAGCAGUUGCAAAAAUUCGCAGUUCAUCUGUCUUGUAUGGGGUUUUGGGUACAACACUGACGGGCCCAGAGUGGGAAUAGCUCCUAGCUGUCAGAUAGUCAGUCAUUGACUGCCUCCCAUUGUCUUGUAGGUCUCCGGGUCCCUACAGAAUUUCCUGGAAUCUACCAUUUGACGUCGAGGAGCGGCAGUCAGAAGAUGUGUCGAAGCAUAUUCUUCAGCGUAGUGUUUCACAUAAGGGUGGCAUUCAGCGUGUCAGCAAAAGUGUGAUUGUCUGUAUCUGUUUGUGAGAAGUUUGUGUGUGCUCCUGUCUGCAGGUCUGAGCGUAUGCUGACCGGUGUUAACCCUGUGUGUAUGGCCUUUGCCUUUCAGGUUUUUCAACUCAUUUUUGAAUUUAGAAUAAAAAAUCCCCAGCUGGGUUUUUUUUCCCCCCCCGCCACCCCCUGGCUGGGUUUUUUUCCUCUGUCCUGGCCAGUCCACGAGGUGACAUUCAUCACUAAGGUUGGGCCACAGACCAUCCCCAGACCAGGGUUUUUGUCAAGGAGGAUUUUUUGGAGGCUCCCGGGAGCCACGUUCCCGAGGAACAAUGAUUUCUGGGGUGUAACGGAGCAGUUGAGAUGAGAGCGAUGGUGAGUUUGUGUGUAACAUGAAGGAGGUGCUCGUGGUGGAUGAGUGUUGUUUUGUGUGUGUAAUCUUUGUUUUGUGUUUCCUCUAACAAUAAAACAAAAUGUAAUUAAAAUAGAAAAAAGGAUCAUGUUGUGUUGAUAUGUGUUUGGUUUCUAUUGCCCUGUGUUGUUCUGUAUUUGCCAUUGCUGCUGCAUUUCCAUGUAUUGCUCUGUAUCUAUGCAUGUCUAUGGAUUGUAUCUGUACUUGUAUUUGUAUCCAUUGUUUCCAUGUGUUUUGCUGAAGUGUAAAUAAAAAAAUUCAUUCAGUAAAGUUGAAUCAACCCUAGUAAUGAUGCCCCUGCUCCCUCACCUUCCAGCUUUGGCUCCUGUCUUUCUUUGAUGUGGUUCAGUAAUUUUUUUUUCACUGUAUUUCUUCCUUUGCUUCUCAUCUUUCUUUUCUAUUUCUGACUUAAUUUCUGUCUGUCCCUAACUCUGUGUUUCUAUUUCUCACUGUUUCUAACUCUGUCUCUCUGCUUCUCUAUUUCCUGCUUUUUUUUUCUUUCUUCCUCUGUUUCCAACUAUUUAUUUUUCUCUCUAUAGUUUAUACUUUACUAUUUCUUUUUCUCUCUAGCUUUAACUUUUUUUUUCUCUUUUUUACUCUCACUUUCUUUUUCACCCUAACCCUGCUCAUUUUUCACUCUUUUUGUUUUCACUGUUUGCCUCUGUUUUCGUAGUUCUUUUUUUUUCAGUCUCUCUUUUUCUCUCCAACUUCAACUUUUUUUAACCCUUUGUUUCUCUCUAUUUCUACCUUUAUUUCUAACUCUGCUUUCCUUUCCAGCUUUAAAAAAAAAAGCAGUAAAAACUUUCAGGCUCCCUGGGAGUAAAAAAAAACCAAAAACAACCAAACCUUUAAAUAAUUAUCUAAAGAAAAUUAUUUAAUUGCUGGGAGCCUGAAAUUUUCUACUGCUGCACCAGACAUAUUGUUUUUCUUCUUUUUCCUAAUAGAUAUAGGGCCCCUAAUUAGCGAUCCAGCUGGCAGGUAGCAGUAGCAAUACACAGCAACCAGUACUCCCAUCAACCCCACCAGACGAAUAAUGAUACAACCAAGAGUUCAUCAUGUUGAAACAUAAAUUUUAAGGGAUUUAGAGGAGCUAAGAUUUUAGUUAAAGACAAGCCUUACUAGAGUUAAUUAAAAUAAAUGAGUAGGCCUUGAUAAAGUUAAGAGUGAGUAGUUAACUAGUAAUUGAUUGCCUGUCAGCACAAUGUUUAGUUAGCUGUGUUUAUAAUGAAGAAUAUAGAAACGGAUAAAUAGAUUUUAGGAGCAUAAGACAAUUGUGGGCCUCCUCUGUUCUGAAAUCAACUGAAGACAAGGAAUGGGAGUUCUACUAAGAGUUCAUUUGUCAUAUUUGCAUUGAAACGGUAGAAAGGCCAGAAUGAGGAAGACUUCAUUUACUUCCACAUUUUGGGACUCAUCCCCAUGAAAGAGACCACUGACCCAUUUCAGGGAACAAACUUCAUGCUUAAUAGCUUUUGAAAUGAUUAGCAUAUGAAGCAAGGAAUGGGAUGUACCAAAAUGAAUAGGUAUUUGUAUUUUCGGUAUUCAGUACUUGUAUGGAUAAAAGGGCUCUUUAAUCACUUGGAAAGUGCGGUGUGUAUUUGGGAACUAUCCCACAUGCUGCUGGGUGUCGAAUAAACAUACACUUUCUAACUUCAAA
Molecule: non-coding RNA, 16168 nt
Organism: Taeniopygia guttata (zebra finch)
Lineage: Eukaryota; Metazoa; Chordata; Aves; Passeriformes; Estrildidae
Source: RefSeq, a predicted model, not a curated record